AUUGAACGCUGGCGGCAGGCCUAACACAUGCAAGUCGAGCGGUAGAGAGGUGCUUGCAUCUCUUGAGAGCGGCGGACGGGUGAGUAAUGCCUAGGAAUCUGCCUAGUGGUGGGGGAUAACGUUCGGAAACGGACGCUAAUACCGCAUACGUCCUACGGGAGAAAGCGGGGGAUCUUCGGACCUCGCGCCAUUAGAUGAGCCUAGGUCGGAUUAGCUAGUUGGUGAGGUAAUGGCUCACCAAGGCGACGAUCCGUAACUGGUCUGAGAGGAUGAUCAGUCACACUGGAACUGAGACACGGUCCAGACUCCUACGGGAGGCAGCAGUGGGGAAUAUUGGACAAUGGCGAAAGCCUGAUCCAGCCAUGCCGCGUGUGUGAAGAAGGUCUUCGGAUUGUAAAGCACUUUAAGUUGGGAGGAAGGGUAGUAACCUAAUACGUGAUUGUUUUGACGUUACCGACAGAAUAAGACACCGGCU
Molecule: ribosomal RNA, 475 nt
Filed under: uncultured bacterium
Lineage: Bacteria
Description: bacterial SSU rRNA
Rfam family: Bacterial small subunit ribosomal RNA
Source: RNAcentral